AUUUAAAUAGUUUAAUAAAAAUAUUAAUUUGUGGAAUUAAUGUUAUACUUUUUAGUAUUUUAAAUA
This 66-nucleotide transfer RNA is filed under the name Mikadonius gracilis. RNAcentral's name for it is "tRNA-His". Lineage: Eukaryota; Metazoa; Arthropoda; Insecta; Coleoptera; Melandryidae. The record is from RNAcentral.